GAAGAAAGAAGUUUCAGUUUAGACAAUGCUUAUUUUUUUUAAGGAAGUGGGGUGGUAGUGGGGUGUAGGUUGUGGUGAGAGAGUAAGAAGAUAUAAAUUCAGUUAUUUAACAUGAGAUUUCUAUAUGUCACACACACUUGUAUGAGAACUCAGCAGAAAGCAAGAUUUUUUUACAUUUUGAAGCCAAGCCAGAACUAAAAAGAACUUUUUGUAGUAAAAUGUUCAGUUGAGAAAACAAAGAAAAUAAACCAUGAUACCGUAAAGGCAUGACUUUUUUAACUAUAAGAAUUUGUUUCCCAAGUUUAACUUAUUAAUAUUAAAUGAUCUUUUACACCUAAUUGUCAUGACUUUCACUGUGCAUUGUGAGGAUUUCAUGUCAUCAGUUCAAGAUUUUUUUUUUUGAUCAUUAAAUAAUAAUUUAAAAAAAUCCCUGUAAUUUUGUAUUUCCUUCUAGAAAUCAGAGUUUUAGAGCUCUUGAGGGCUGAUGGAGAUCAUCAGCACAUCCUAAUUUUGUUGAUUUUGAGGUACAUUUUUGAAGAGCAUGGGAGGAUCUAAGGCUUCCUUGCUGAACUGCUAUCUAUAUCUGGGGAUGGUAAAGACAAAUUUUCAGGAAAAUCUUCAGCUGCAGUAUGGCAAAACACUAAAACUCAACACUCAAACUUGGUAGGAAAAGUCAAGACGUAAGCUAAGAAUUCCAUAUAAAUAUGUGGCUAAAACAGCAUAUCAACAUGUAUUUUAAAACAGAAUUUUUUAAUAAAAACCCACAUAUCUGGCAAUAUAUUAACAAAGGACUCUUUUUUAACUUUAUUGGUGUUUCAAUAAUCUUCAUUAAUUAGAAAAAGGAGGCAUUUUGAAAUUUCAAACUGAAAAGGAAUGGAGUUUAGGAAGUUUUUAUUUUAUUUUUUAUUUUAUUUUGUUGGGUUUUAUUUUUUAUGGAAAGAGGAAAAAGCAAGAUCUUAGAUUAACUGUAAACUGACAUUGCUGUUAUUUGAUUUAAAAAAAAUAUUUACUUUUCAGUUAGAUAACAUUAAGGUUUGAUGUUGAUAUUUAAAUAGAAAUGUAAAUUUAAAGCAAAAUUCCAAUUCUAUGAAUUAAUCUACAGAUCAAUUAAACAGAAUGAAUGAAAUUUCACUCUUAAAAGUAAAUAUACUCCCUUGCAUCCCUUUCAAUUUUCCGUUUUCCAAAGAUUUAACUUUGUUAAAACCUGAAGGCAGUAGUAGGGAAAAUAUUGCUUUUCCUGAUAGAAGUGGUAGAAUUUUUUGUAAGUUGUGAUUUUUUUAAAUUCCAGAGUUUAGCACUCCUUUUUUGUAAAUAUGGUUCAUAGUAGGCUUGAGGAAGAUAAUUACUAUUUUCAACAUUUGACAAAAGUUAUUAAGCUUGGUGCUUUUUUUUGCACUCAGCUAUAUGCUACAGGAAGACCUUACACAGCAUAGAGAAAUAACCAAUCUGUAUUUUUUUUCCUUAAACUGAUGCAGAAUUUUGAAAUGAAACUAGUAGGAAAUAUGUGCAUGAUCUCAUUAUUGCUUUGUGAUCAUUGCACAAAACAAUAAUGCAAUAAAUAUUUUUAAUAAGACCAGAAACCUUGAUUGCUUUAAGAUUUUAUUUCUAUUGCUAUAGUGAAUCUGAGAAAACUGUAAUGCAACCACUUAAGCAACCUCCUGCCAUGGAAGCAAUCCAAAAAUCAGAACAAAAGCCUCCUACAGACUGGAUGUGACGCCUUCGAUUGUUAUCAUUCAGCACACAUCUUAGUAAACUAGCAACCUUUCCUAGUUCUAGUCCUAGAAUGCUGCAGCUUCUUGUCUAGUGGGGAGAGACCAGCACAAAAAUGAUAAAGCAGGACCUGUGUACUUCGUCUUGGAACAAAUUCACAGCUCUAAAAAAGCAAGGCAUCUUUCUUCAAAUGACAUCUAAAACUUUAGCUGUCCAUAUUUUAAAGGUGAAGAAGUGGGUCGUAUUUCACAGCAACACUUAUCCAACUAAACAAGCUGCUGCCUUUUUUCCCACCAAGAUUUUUCAGACACAUUCAUGGGCAUCUCUCUAGGACUGAUUGGAAAGAUUAUGCAGACUUCUGUAAGAACAUUAUUAUAAUAAUGUCUACUGAUAAAGGGUUGUUCUAUAAAAAUAGUAUAAAACAUGUAUAAGAGUCUGAAGCCACCAAGUGGGCUUAACUCAGGAGAUGUUGUUGUGGUAAAGCGCACUCUAUUUUUUUUCCAUGUGAGAUACUUCUUCAGUUUCCAGUUCCACUUUUUACUUCAAAUUCUUGUUCACACUACCCUUGACAAAAUUAUUAUGAUUUGUGCCAUGCUGCACAUUCUUUGUUCUUAGAAGUGACAGAAAACCUUCAUAGAGCUCUGUCAACCUCCUUCAAAUAAAUGUGUGAGAGAAAGA
Molecule: long non-coding RNA, 2388 nt
Organism: Prinia subflava (tawny-flanked prinia)
Lineage: Eukaryota; Metazoa; Chordata; Aves; Passeriformes; Cisticolidae
Exons: 3
Source: RefSeq, a predicted model, not a curated record